Molecule: non-coding RNA, 961 nt
Filed under: Harpyionycteris whiteheadi
Lineage: Eukaryota; Metazoa; Chordata; Mammalia; Chiroptera; Pteropodidae
Description: partial 12S ribosomal RNA
Rfam family: Bacterial small subunit ribosomal RNA
Source: RNAcentral
AAAGGUUUGGUCCCGCCCUUUCUAUUAGCUGUUAGCAGGAUUACACAUGCAAGUAUCAGCGCUCCGGUGAAAAAGCCCUUGAAAUCACAUGCUGGUCAAAAGGAGCGGGUAUCAAGCACACCCCUGAAGGUAGCUAAAGACGCCUCGCCUAGCCACACCCCCACGGGAUACAGCAGUGAUAAGAAUUAAGCAAUGAACGAAAGUUUGACUAAGCCAUGCUAACCACCAAGGGUUGGUAAAUUUCGUGCCAGCCACCGCGGUCAUACGAUUAACCCAAGUUAAUAGACAUACGGCGUAAAACGUGUUGAGGAACCUACAUUCAAUAAAGUUAAAUCUAGACCUUGCUGUAAAAAGCUUUAGACUAGACAAAAAUAAGCCACGAAAGUGACUUUAAACCAUCCGACCACACGAUAGCUAAGACACAAACUGGGAUUAGAUACCCCACUAUGCUUAGCCCUAAACCUAAGUAGCUAAUAUAACAAUUCUACUCGCCAGAGAACUACUAGCAACAGCUUAAAACUCAAAGGACUUGGCGGUGCUUUAUAUCCCUCUAGAGGAGCCUGUUCUAUAAUCGAUAAACCCCGAUAAACCUCACCGGCCCUUGCCAAUUCAGCCUAUAUACCGCCAUCCUCAGCAAACCCUAAAAAGGAAGCAUAGUAAGCAAAAUUAUAUAAGCAUAAAAACGUUAGGUCAAGGUGUAGCUAAUGAGCCGGAAAGAAAUGGGCUACAUUUUCUAAAAUAGAAAACAACGAAAGCUCUCGUGAAACCGAGAACAGAAGGAGGAUUUAGUAGUAAAUUAAGAAUAGAGAGCUUAAUUGAAUCAGGCCAUGAAGCACGCACACACCGCCCGUCACCCUCCUCAAGUAUAAAAUAUAAUUGACAACAUAUAAGUGUAUAUACACGUACAAGAGGAGAUAAGUCGUAACAAGGUAAGCGUACUGGAAAGUGCGCUUGGAAUAAU